GGAGAACCGGGGAGAAGAGCGGGGAAGCGAUGGGGAGAACCGGGAAGAAGCCCGCGCCCGGAAGCGGCAGGGGUACCUGCGGGGCGGCAUGAGCCGGCGAGGUAGCCCCGGGGUCCUUGCCGGGUCGGGUGGGGGAGGAAGGGACAUGGCGGUAGGAACCUCCAUCCGGAAGAUCAGUGAGCUUUCCACCUCCGGUUUAUGUUUUAAAUUGAUCCUGGCAGAGGGAGUCGCCUGGAGCGCCCUCGGGGGUCGUUCUGCCUCUGAGCUGUAGGACGGGGCGGGGAAUCCCCUCCGAAGCGUGGGUACAGCGCGAUCACUUCCUAAGUGCUCCCCUGACCCCCAACUCCGCCCCACGCCACCCCCUAGAAUGUCGAGGAAGAAACGGCUGGGUCCCCGCGCGCCUCCUGUCGCCUCGUUCCCCGCGCGGCGUGGGCGGGGUCCCGGCUGCUGCAAUGCGGGACACGGCGGGGGUGCGCGGGGUUCCCGCCUGGCGUCUCCGGGGCGGUCCGGCAGCCCCUCGCGUUUCCGCAGGGAGAUUUUAAAAAAGGGUUUCCUGCGCUCGCAUGUGCUGUCGCCUUCCGGCUCGUGACAAAACCGAAAACCAAAAUGGGUCCCAGGCCCUCCCCGCCAGCCUCCGCAGACGGGAAGGAUCAGGAAGCGGGGACUCCGGGAUGUCAGCGGCGCCGCGGCGCCGGCUCCGGGCUUCCCUGCCCUGCAAUGUGGAAGCUGCUCUCUAGGAGGGGGCCGAGGCUCGGCCCACGGACGCGGACGCGCUGGGAGGAUAUUUAACAUUGAAGAGCGGAAGGGUUGGGUUCUCAGAGAAAGAAAACGUGAUGCAGAAGAGGCUGGGAUUGGAGAAACAGGAGAGUGAAGUGGAAAUAGCCUGGCCUGCGUGACUUAAACCGGCCCGGAGAUGUGCGGGUACGAAUGGAGCCGCCUUGGGGUCGGGAUAGGACCCAGAGUGGCUUCUCAGUCAAAGGCCUUCAGCAGCAGAGGGAGCACCUUGAGUGACCUUACCUGGGCCGCCAAAGACAAGAAACCUUUGGCACAGGAAGAGGAACUGAUCUCUGGAAGCCACCAGGGCGGGUGGAAAGUCAGGGUUUCAAGGUUAUUUUGGAAUUUAGGUGCUGUGGGCCCUACACGGUGGAUCAUGCUUGUCAUCCCGGUGCUUUGGGAGGCCGAGACAGGAGGAUCGCUUGAGCCGAGGAGUUCCAGAGCAGCCUGGGCAACAUAGUGAGACUCUGUGUCUACAAAAAAAUAAAAAAGAAAGAAAAAAAACUAA
Molecule: long non-coding RNA, 1282 nt
Organism: Pongo pygmaeus (Bornean orangutan)
Lineage: Eukaryota; Metazoa; Chordata; Mammalia; Primates; Hominidae
Exons: 2
Source: RefSeq, a predicted model, not a curated record